Molecule: ribosomal RNA, 447 nt
Filed under: uncultured bacterium
Lineage: Bacteria
Description: SSU rRNA
Rfam family: Bacterial small subunit ribosomal RNA
Source: RNAcentral
AGAACGAACGCUGGCGGCAGGCUUAACACAUGCAAGUCGAGCGCCCCGCAAGGGGAGCGGCAGACGGGUGAGUAACACGUGGGAACGUACCCUUUACUACGGAAUAACGCAUGGAAACGUGUGCUAAAUACCGUAUGUGCCCUUCGGGGGAAAGAUUUAUCGGUAAAGGAUCGGCCCGCGUUGGAUUUAGCUAGGUUGGUGGGGUAAAGGCCUACCAAGGCGACGAUCCAUAGCUGGUCUGAGAGGAUGAUCAGCCACAUUGGGACUGAGACACGGCCCAAACUCCUACGGGAGGCAGCAGUGGGGAAUAUUGGACAAUGGGCGCAAGCCUGAUCCAGCCAUGCCGCGUGAGUGAUGAAGGCCCUAGGGUUGUAAAGCUCUUUCACCGGAGAAGAUAAUGACGGUAUCCGGAGAAGAAGCCCCGGCUAACUUCGCGCCAGCAGCCGC